UUAGAGGAGAGGGAGUCAAUCAUUUGUAUUAAAAAUGUAAAAUAGUACAAAACUUGUUACUCGAAACACCAGAAAAGAAAUACCAAUACCAUACACAGAAAGAAAGAAUCGUUGAAUGCAAAAACAUAAAAGAAAGAGAGAGAGAGAGAGAGAGAGAGAUUGUUGCAGCGAGUGGAAACUGUAAAGGUGGGGAGUUUGAGUAAAGCGCCGAGCGAUAAAAGCUGGCUUCGGAUAUCUGGAAACGACUUUUCCCACGACGAGGCAGAGCUCCACUCAUUCCACGCAUUCAAUUCGGCUUUGCCCCACCAUCUCUCCUCCCUCCCGCUAUGCAGAUCAACGUCUUCAGGCUCUGCUCCGGCCUUAAAUUCCUCGGCUACCUUAUGAUCCUCUUGGUCGCCGCCAUCAUUGCCGUCUCUUACUAUGCCGUUGUUGUCUUCAUCUGUGGACCCCAGCUCCUUCGUGGUGGUCUCCACUCCUUCUUCGCCUUCUCUGUCAUCGUACUCUUCCAUGCUCUGCUUAUCCUAUUAUUGUGGAGCUACUUUAGGGUAGUCUUUAAAAACCCUGGUGCUGUCCCUGAAAAUUGGAAACCUUCAGCGGAGGAAGAUAAUUUGCAGGCUAGUGCUUAUCCUACACAUUCAGAUCAGUUAGCUCCUGAUGCUUCGUCUUCCACACAGUCUUUAGAUGGACUAGAAAGAAGACAGCCAGCAGGCUAUUGCACGCGUUGCCAAACUGGCAAGCCACCACGAUGUCAUCAUUGUUCUGUUUGCCAAAGAUGUGUGCUUAAGAUGGAUCACCAUUGCAUUUGGGUGGUGAAUUGUGUAGGAGCCCACAACUAUAAGUUUUUCCUUCUUUUUUUGCUUUAUACAUUCCUGGAGACGACAAUGGAUACUUUAGUUUUGCUGCCUCAUUUUUUCAAAUUCUUCGGUGACGCCAAGAAUCGUUCCACUUCUGCUGGAAAUCUUGCUGUUGUUUUUACAGCUUUUGUUCUUAAUUUGGCCUUUUCGUUGAGUCUUCUUUGUUUCAUUAUUAUGCAUGCAACCCUUGUAUCUAGCAAUACUACGUCUGUGGAGGUUUAUGAGAAGAAAAGAGCAGUUAGAUGGCAAUAUGACCUUGGAAAAAAGAGGAAUUUCGAGCAGGUUUUUGGAACGAAAAAGGUACUUUGGUUCUUCCCAUUGUUCUCGAAAGACGAUUUGGACAACAUACCUGCACUUCAAGGCCUAGAAUUUCCAACACGUGCUGAUGUUGAGGUUUGAGGCCUGCAAGCUUACAACUUACCAUCCAGGAUAAUGAUUUUCAUGCAUGACAAGGGGAAGUUGUAAAGCCAAAGUUGUUGCUUAUUAGUGGAAGCUGCCUGAAGAUGGUACUUUGUUCAGUGAUGUAGAUGAAAGUGUGGACUACUCAAGUCAACUAUAGAAGGAGGCCUUUCAAUCCGUUGGUCGUGAAACUUUAUACCAUUUUAGAUUGAACUAGCUAUGACUGAAAAAGGUUGGGUUUUAACUCUUUCUCUAUUGCCUUAGACGGCUUAUCUGCAGUUAGUAUGCUCAAUGGAAUUUCUCCUUGCCAUG
RNA transcript from Humulus lupulus (European hop), 1565 nucleotides. It is a transcript of the gene named probable protein S-acyltransferase 12, with no coding region annotated. The record is from RefSeq and is a predicted model, not a curated record. Lineage: Eukaryota; Viridiplantae; Streptophyta; Magnoliopsida; Rosales; Cannabaceae. The transcript is spliced from 8 exons.